AUGUACUGCAGAAGGGGAACACGUCCCUCCUGUGACCUCGGCUUGUGCCCAUGUUUCCUGCACUGGAUGCACUGCUCAUGGGGAAUGGGUGAGGAAGUAAAAAAUUUGAUCUUGGCUUUUAGUAACAGCAAAGAGGAAUCCUUUCCACUGUGGCUCAGAACAAGCUGGUCAGACAGCACAAAGGAAGGUGAUUACCACACACAGUUGCUAAGUUUCUAGUUUUCCACCUACUGAAGAAGUGCAAGUAACAUCUGAUCAACUGUAGCUUAACAUCCAGGGACUCUGCUCACAAGGAGAUUCUUGAGGAUGAUAACAGAUGGGGGCUUCCAUCUGGACCAGAAUAGCACUGAAGGUUGGAAGACUCGUUGGUCUCAGCAUGGUACAUCCCACACUGCAAAGCAUUCACCAAGAUGCUCAGCAGAUUGAACUUUAUGUGCAAGGGGCCCCAUCCACUGAAAUAGCUUCUUGAUUAGUGCUUUUGAGCUCAGCUUAUCUGCCAGGAAUCCCCAGGAAGGAAGGAAGGAAAGAAGAAUAUCCUCUUGCUCCUCUGUACCUCCUCAUAUUACAACUCAACACUUUGCUUUGAUGCUUUGCUCUAAGUAAUCCUUAGUCCACAGCUAGAAGAUAUCAGGUAAGAUUUAUGUCUAGUCUCUUGCCUCCGUUCUCCUUUUCAGCUCUUCUGGAUGAGGAGCUUCUGGAUCUUUCUGAUUUCUGCCUGUUACAAUUGACAACUUGAAUUUCCAGAUGAAUUCCUGACCACUUCAGUAAGGGGCUGAAAGAGACAGUCUGUAAGGGAGUAUGAUGCUGGGAUUUCUGAGCCUGACAUCUGCACACACACAGCAGCAGAAAUAUUGUCGUGCAAAUAAAGGAACACAGCAGCAUCUGUCA
This 888-nucleotide long non-coding RNA is filed under the name Coturnix japonica (Japanese quail). RNAcentral's name for it is "lncRNA (ENSCJPG00005020853.1)". The record is from RNAcentral. Lineage: Eukaryota; Metazoa; Chordata; Aves; Galliformes; Phasianidae.